RNAcentral lists this ribosomal RNA (416 nucleotides) under uncultured Fusarium. RNAcentral describes it as "partial 18S ribosomal RNA". It matches the Rfam family "Eukaryotic small subunit ribosomal RNA", at positions 598 to 1028 of the family's 1831-position model. The record is from RNAcentral. Lineage: Eukaryota; Fungi; Ascomycota; Sordariomycetes; Hypocreales; Nectriaceae.
AGCGUAUAUUAAAGUUGUUGUGGUUAAAAAGCUCGUAGUUGAACCUUGGGCCUGGCUGGCCGGUCCGCCUCACCGCGUGUACUGGUCCGGCCGGGCCUUUCCCUCUGUGGAACCCCAUGCCCUUCACUGGGUGUGGCGGGGAAACAGGACUUUUACUGUGAAAAAAUUAGAGUGCUCCAGGCAGGCCUAUGCUCGAAUACAUUAGCAUGGAAUAAUARAAUAGGACGUGUGGUUCUAUUUUGUUGGUUUCUAGGACCGCCGUAAUGAUUAAUAGGGACAGUCGGGGGCAUCAGUAUUCAAUUGUCAGAGGUGAAAUUCUUGGAUUURUUGARGACUAACUACUGCGAAAGCRUUUGSCAAGGAUGUUUUCAUUAAUCAGGAACAAARGUUAGGGGAKCGAAGARWAUCASAUACMG